GACGAACGCUGGCGGCGUGCUUAACACAUGCAAGUCGAACGGAAAGGCCCUGCUUUUGUGGGGUGCUCGAGUGGCGAACGGGUGAGUAACACGUGAGUAACCUGCCCUUGACUUUGGGAUAACUUCAGGAAACUGGGGCUAAUACCGGAUAGGAGCUCCUGCUGCAUGGUGGGGGUUGGAAAGUUUCGGCGGUUGGGGAUGGACUCGCGGCUUAUCAGCUUGUUGGUGGGGUAGUGGCUUACCAAGGCUUUGACGGGUAGCCGGCCUGAGAGGGUGACCGGCCACAUUGGGGCUGAGGUACGGCCCAGACUCCUACGGGGGGCAACAGUGGGGAAUAUUGCACAAUGGGCGGAAGCCUGAUGCAGCAACGCCGCGGGCGGGAUGACGGCCUUCGGGUUGUAAACCGCUUUCGCCUGUGACGAAGCGUGAGUGACGGUAAUGGGUAAAGAAGCACCGGCUAACUACGUGC
This 469-nucleotide ribosomal RNA is filed under the name uncultured bacterium. RNAcentral's name for it is "partial 16S ribosomal RNA". It matches the Rfam family "Bacterial small subunit ribosomal RNA", at positions 28 to 508 of the family's 1533-position model. The record is from RNAcentral.